UACAGAGGGUGCAAGCGUUAGUCGGAGUUACUGGGCGUAAAGGGCGUGUAGGCUGGUAUCUUAGUCGGUUGUGAAAUCCCUGGGCUUAACCUAGGAAUUGCAGUCGAUACUGGAUAUCUUGAGUAUGGUAGAGGAAAGUGGAAUUCUCGGUGUAGUGGUUAAAUACGUAGAUAUCGAGAAGAACAUCAGUGGCGAAGGCGACUUUCUGGCCCAAUACUGACGCUGAGGCGCGAAAGCGUGGGGAG
RNAcentral lists this ribosomal RNA (245 nucleotides) under uncultured bacterium. RNAcentral's name for it is "partial 16S ribosomal RNA". It matches the Rfam family "Bacterial small subunit ribosomal RNA", at positions 524 to 768 of the family's 1533-position model. The record is from RNAcentral.